CUAUAUUCAAGUCAAAAGUGCCCAAAAUAGGUAUUUAUUCAAAACCUAUUUCAUCCAUCUUCUCCAUAAGGUAACCUCCAAAACAUUCCUUUUAAAUUAUGUUAAUUAGCUAAUUAAUAGAUUUAUUACCUAAUUAAUCUAUUAUGGCUAAUUAAAUAACCAAUUAACUACAAAAUGCACUCAAAAACACCAUAAAGGGUCGGGCCACCUUCUCCCCCAAAGAGGCCCGCCAUGCCCUAUAUAUAAUACCCCAUUUUCUCUAAAAACCUAGGUCAACACUCUUGCUAAAUACUCAAAAUUCUCCAAACACCUUUCCCUCAAAAUUCUAACUUUGGCAUAUGAGGUUCUUCUGCCAAAGCACCCCCAUUCAUCAUGGGCGCGUGAUGCUAUUGGCCUUGACCUAAGGUGCUAUUUGUUUUUUAGUUGCAAUUUUGUCCAAAAACAAGGAGGAAGAAACUGCACUUUAUUUCCAUUUGUCAUGUUUAUUUGUCGUUUGUUAUUUGCUUGUUUUUUGUGUGAGUAUAUGCUUGAAACAUUGAGGACAAUGUUCGAUUUAAGUGUGGGGGAAUUGGUAACUAUUGUUUUGCAUGAAAAUUUGUAGAAAAUGAUCACCCAUUACUUCUAGUGUUGUUCCUUGCUGUUUAAGUGUUUUUAAGCUGUUUUGGAGUGUUUCAGUAUGUUUUGACAUAAAAAUCCAAAAAUCUCAUAAAAAUUUGAAAAAUUGUUUUGAAAAACCGAAAAAGAGUUGUUUUUGUUUGUUUAUUUUGUGUCUUAAGGUACCUUCCAACACAAUGAUGAGGAUUUGGUUUUUAAUUACAUGACUGUUAAAGAGAAUUAUAAACAUGGAUGAAAGUUUGAUAUGCUCUUUGGUUUAUACUUGGUUGUAGUUAUAAUUUAUGAAUUCACAUGCAAUCAUAAAGGAAAAAUUAGUUUUUGUAACAUGCUUGAAGAAAGGAACUCAAACAAACGCUCCAACCUUGUGAGACUUGAGCCUAAACGUUAUUUGGAGAGUUGAUAAUCUGUGCAUUAUUGUUUUCUAAAGUCGUUGCAUGAUCUCAUUUUUCUUUGCUUAGUUACUACUUAGAAGGCGUUUCAUCAUUUAGUUCCAAAUGCUAGAACUCAUGCCCAUUUCAUUCAAAGCAUGAUAUUGAUUUGCAUAACACAUAUUCAAGAUGCAGUUGUGUAGUUACCACCACCAAAGCCAAAUUGCCUUGUAUCCUACUUCAUUAUUUGUUUAAGUUAACCCCAUUGAGCCUUGUUAGCCUACGUUCUUUGUUAACCUACGUUAUCCUCACCUAGCCUAGAUUAGGACCAUCCAUACCCUUGUUCUUCAAAGCAUAGUAAAGCAUGAUUCAAAUUGAAUUCCUUGUAAUUAUGUAUGGUAGAAAAUAAGUGUGGGGGAAGUGUUUCUCAUGUAAGUAGUGUGCCAUAGGCACGGGUGGAAAAAAAAAAAAAGAGUUGAAUUUGACCCUAAGAGUUGUUUAAAUCUUUCCCUUACGUCUAAAAGUUGAUUUCUACAAUCUAAGUGAAUUCUAAGUUCAAGUUCAUUAUUUUAUUUGCUAUUGCUUUAAGAACGUUUGUUUUCCCUUACCUUCAUUUGUUAGCCAACACCCCAAGCCCCAUUACAACCCUUGACUUCAAUCUUGAGUGUUAUGUGUUUCAAUAUAUACAUAUAUAUAUGUAUAAUGUGGCGUAAAAUGCACAAUCUAUAACGCCCUACUCCCGAAUUAUUUAUUUUCAGAAAUAAUUAUAGGGGAUAAGUCCAACUAAACACUAGUUUAAUUAACUAUCAUUACUUACGUUUCCUUAUUUCAGUUUCUUGAUUCCUUCCACAUUGAUUUAUGACCAACAUCCAAUCACUAAAAACAUAAAGUUAAAUCUCAUAUUUUCACCAAUUUCCUUUGCAAUGCUCAAUUCCCAAACAAGGUUUUUGUUUCAAAUAUUGUAUGAUUGCAUCUAACGUCUCGUUAAACUGCCUACGUACCUUAAACAGAGAUCAAACCAUUCGUAGUUUACAUUAGUACUUCAAAGUAUACACAGUAAUUAUAUGCAAUAAUCAAUUUAUAACCGUUUGUGGAAUUAUAUAUAUAUAUAUAUAUAUAUAUACACGCACGAUAGAAAGGAAACGACCCACUUACCUGAGGUUCGCGCUACGAGUUCCUAGCACACAUAUCGAGAUAUCACGAACCAUCGUCGCCUAUGACCAAUUAUCAAAUCACAUCUUAGAGUUCAUACCGAUAAAAUACACAAUUUACAUAAAACACAUCCCUACGUAAUUCAAUUUGGAAGAUCUACAUCACAGAUUUCCGAUCUGUUGCUUCCAAAGAUCCACAUUAUACCUCUAGAACAACAUCCUAAAGUCCCAUUAUGAUCCAACGGUCGGAUCUCCGCCAAUUACCAAAACUAAAUGGCGGUUAACCUUUUAUUUCAUGAACUUACAAAUUCAAUUCGAGAAGAUUCGUAUAUCAAAUUCCCGAUCCAUGAAUUCCUAUUGUUUUCAAAUAUUAUGUACUAAAAUAUAUUAAACUUUGGUGACGAUCCAACAGUCGGAUCGUCGAUUCAUAUCUUUACCAAGUAACGUAUCCUAAUGAGUUUAGGUCUAAACGAUCAACCUACAAUAUACAAUUUCCAAAACUGAACUCAAGACAUCUAAUUUAGCCUAAGGAUAACAUCGACGGUCCCUUGGCCACG
This 2691-nucleotide long non-coding RNA is filed under the name Malus domestica (apple). RNAcentral describes it as "long non-coding RNA (MDOM_LNC020800)". Lineage: Eukaryota; Viridiplantae; Streptophyta; Magnoliopsida; Rosales; Rosaceae. The record is from RNAcentral.